This 101-nucleotide microRNA precursor is filed under the name Oikopleura dioica. Its description in RNAcentral is "microRNA odi-mir-1504 precursor". The record is from miRBase by way of RNAcentral. Lineage: Eukaryota; Metazoa; Chordata; Appendicularia; Copelata; Oikopleuridae.
GCAGCAAAUGAGCGGGCGCGCUCCUAACCCUAGUUGCAGGUACAAGCUUUCGCCUCGCAAGAUAAAGUGUACUUGGUGCUUGGGUUGUUCAAUUUGGGGCG